This 811-nucleotide ribosomal RNA is filed under the name uncultured bacterium. RNAcentral describes it as "bacterial SSU rRNA". It matches the Rfam family "Bacterial small subunit ribosomal RNA", at positions 8 to 812 of the family's 1533-position model. The record is from RNAcentral.
AGAGUUUGAUCCUGGCUCAGGACGAACGCUGGCGGCGUGCCUAACACAUGCAAGUCGGACGGGAACAGUGGAAUAGUUUACCAAUUCACUGUUUUAGUGGCGGACGGGUGAGUAACACGUGGGCAACCUGCCUUAGAGUGGGGGAUAACAGCGAGAAAUCGUUGCUAAUACCGCAUGAAAUUAGAGUUUUGCAUAAAACCCUAAUGAAAGGAAAUAAUCCAAUGGAUUAUUCCGCUUUAAGAUGGGCCCGCGCCUGAUUAGCUAGUUGGUGAGAUAAAAGCUCACCAAGCGACGAUCAGUAGCCGAUCUGAGAUGAUGACCGGCCACACUGGAACUGAGACACGGUCCAGACUCCUACGGGAGGCAGCAGUGGGGAAUAUUGCACAAUGGGGGAAACCCUGAUGCAGCAACGCCGCGUGGAGGACGAAGGUUUUCGGAUUGUAAACUCCUGUCAUUUGGGAAGAUAAUGACGGUACCAAAUGAGGAAGCCACGGCUAACUACGUGCCAGCAGCCGCGGUAAUACGUAGGUGGCGAGCGUUGUCCGGAAUUACUGGGCGUAAAGGGCGUGUAGGCGGCCAAUCAAGUCAGCUGUGAAACCCCGGGGCUUAACCUCGGGCUUGCAAUUGAAACUGAAUGGCUCGAGUGUCGGAGAGGAAAGCGGAAUUCCUAGUGUAGCGGUGAAAUGCGUAAAUAUUAGGAGGAACACCAGUGGCGAAGGCGGCUUUCUGGACGAUAACUGACGCUGAGGCGCGAAAGCGUGCGGAGCAAACAGGAUUAAAUACCCCUGGUAGUCCCCGCCAUAAACGAUGG